AGAGAAUCCAUAAAAGCAACGGGACAAAAUAAUUCAACAACGUCUGCAAGAUUCGGAAGAGGCACUGGAGAUUAUUGAGAUGGCUGGUAAUGGAGAUUUGGGCAGACUGACUUGCAAUCCUGCUAGUGUUACUUAAAUCACAAUGCUGAUUUAGUUAUCAAGACAGUAAAUACAAGACAUGUUAGUAUUUUAAGACCCAGGUUUUUUUUUUCCUUCCAAAAUAGCACAACAUGACGUGUUGGUUUUGCUCCAGUAUUUCACUUGUGUUUGUUCACAGCAGGUUACAGCUGUUUAAGACAUCUGGCUUUAAUCAAAAUCUGUAAAGACACUGUUUUCCACAUAAUCGUAAAACUACUCAUCAAUUUGCAAACAAAUAACAGAGAUAAAAUACAUGUUUUAUUUUGCAAAAA
Cyprinus carpio (common carp) is the source of this 410-nucleotide long non-coding RNA. RefSeq lists it as uncharacterized. NCBI's taxonomy places the organism in Eukaryota, Metazoa, Chordata, Actinopteri, Cypriniformes, Cyprinidae. The record is from RefSeq and is a predicted model, not a curated record.